Molecule: long non-coding RNA, 614 nt
Filed under: Numida meleagris (helmeted guineafowl)
Lineage: Eukaryota; Metazoa; Chordata; Aves; Galliformes; Numididae
Description: lncRNA (ENSNMEG00000007093.1)
Source: RNAcentral
AUUGGAUGGGUUCAUUCCUCUGGAAUGAAAUCUUACUGCCUCUUCCUCCUCUCGCCCUUCAUCCUCCCCCUCACCUCACCCUUUGUAUUCCCCUCCUUCCACCAGUGCCUGUGCUGCAUGUGUGACCCAUGCAAUGAGCCAAUUCAAUUCUCCACUCCAGCAGAAAAUUGUCUGAGUUUUUUUGGGUUAUUUUUCUGCUGAGUUGGUGAGCCAUGUCAGUUCAGAGACGUUUCUGGACCAACAUUAGAGGGAAUGGUGAGACUGUGAGGCUGAGGACAGCAAGGGAGGGGGAACUGGAGGAGGCAGCCUCACCACUUCUGCAGAGGGCAUCCUGGAAAACAGAGAAGGAGCAGCAAUAUAAAUCAAGAGGGGCUGCAGGAGAAUACUGGAAACAGAGGAUGGGAUCCUCCACUCGUACCAUGCAGUAAUUAGAGCUACCCCUACUUGUUCUUUUGAGAUAAAACACAUUUUUUAAGAUGCUUAAACUUUAAUUACCUUUCUACUCAACUUACAGGCUUGUAGAAAAGCCAACCCUGUUUUGUGUUUUCUUUAAAUUAUCCAUAAGUUCAAUAAGAUGAGACCUGGCUUAAUAAAAAUAAGGAAAGGUUUCUCCA